This 226-nucleotide ribosomal RNA is filed under the name Escherichia coli P0298942.11. RNAcentral describes it as "partial 16S ribosomal RNA". The record is from RNAcentral. Lineage: Bacteria; Pseudomonadati; Pseudomonadota; Gammaproteobacteria; Enterobacterales; Enterobacteriaceae.
GCUGCUCACUUUAUGCUUGCUGGUAGUGGUUCUGUAGCCAGGUGGCUGAAGGUCUAUGAAGAGCGCGGAGAAGCUGGUUUACGCGCGCUCAAGAUUGGCACCAAAAGAAACAUUGCAAUAUCAGUUGAUCCAGAAAAAGCGGCAUCAGCAUUGGAGCUGUCAAAAGACCGACGCAUUGAGGAUCUUGAAAGGCAAGUUCGAUUUCUUGAAACGCGGCUUAUGUAUC